RNAcentral lists this non-coding RNA (68 nucleotides) under Priestia megaterium. RNAcentral's name for it is "partial 16S ribosomal RNA". It matches the Rfam family "Bacterial small subunit ribosomal RNA", at positions 1 to 68 of the family's 1533-position model. RNAcentral also lists the same sequence under 2 other names. The record is from RNAcentral. Lineage: Bacteria; Bacillati; Bacillota; Bacilli; Caryophanales; Bacillaceae.
UCUUCGGAGAGUUUGAUCCUGGCUCAGGAUGAACGCUGGCGGCGUGCCUAAUACAUGCAAGUCGAGCG